CCUUAACCUGCUAAAUAGUCCCGCCGGCUUUGGCUGGCGGCUGACUUCUUAGAGGGACUAUCAGCGUUUAGCUGAUGGAAGUUUGAGGCAAUAACAGGUCUGUGAUGCCCUUAGAUGUUCUGGGCCGCACGCGCGCUACACUGACAGAGCCAGCGAGUAUUUUCACCUUAGCCGGAAGGCUCGGGUAAUCUUGUGAAACUCUGUCGUGAUGGGGAUAGAACAUUGCAAUUAUUGUUCUUCAACGAGGAAUACCUAGUAAGCGUGAUUCAUCAGAUCGCGUUGAUUACGUCCCUGCCCUUUGUACACACCGCCCGUCGCUACUACCGAUUGAAUGGCUUAGUGAGGCCUCCGGAUUGGCUAUGGGAAUCCCUCGCGGGAAUCCCACUGCCGAGAAGUUGUACGAACUUGGUCAUUUAGAGGAAGUAAAAGUCG
Molecule: ribosomal RNA, 432 nt
Filed under: Microbotryales sp.
Lineage: Eukaryota; Fungi; Basidiomycota; Microbotryomycetes; Microbotryales
Description: SSU rRNA
Rfam family: Eukaryotic small subunit ribosomal RNA
Source: RNAcentral